CUUUUUCCUUUGCAAGGCUAAUAAAUACAAUAUUUUAGGUAUGCUAUCCAGACCACAGUCCCAUAAUAUGCUGAAAGGAAGCAAAGAAGCAUAAAAGAAUAUGCAGAAGGCGGCUAAAAAUGAGAGAUAAAUUCCAAUAGUGAGGACACAAGGCAAUGAAGCCCUUUGAGGACUGGACUACUUCAUCAUGGAUACUUGUUCCUCCACCACGUGUUUCCAGCAGUUUAUGGAUGACAUAUAAGCAGUGCUCAGGAAUCCCUGCCAAGCUCUGUACACCUGGCAAGUAUGAAAAGAGCACAGAAGGUAUCUUUGGUGAGUAAUGUAGCAUGUCAAAAGCCUACUAAAACUCUGGUUGGUCAAAGACACAUAAGAUAUUUGGAUAAAAGGAGGCAGAGCCCUGAACAGGCAUAUGGAUGAGAGGAGCCAGGUACUUUUCCAGCAGCUUUAUCCUGCAAAGAAAGGGUGAUAUGAUAGAGGUGCUCAUCUGCUGAACCUGUGCAGGGACUGUAGGAGUCUGACAGUUCCCAGCCUCUGAAAAAAUUCUCAGCCCUAUGCCUUAGACACAUAAU
RNAcentral lists this long non-coding RNA (569 nucleotides) under Cyanistes caeruleus (blue tit). Its description in RNAcentral is "lncRNA (ENSCCEG00000014168.1)". The record is from RNAcentral. Lineage: Eukaryota; Metazoa; Chordata; Aves; Passeriformes; Paridae.